GGAAUGUAGCUCAGUGGUAGAGUGUUUGCCUAGGGUGCGCAGGGCUCUGGGUUCCAGCUCCAGUACCA
RNAcentral lists this transfer RNA (68 nucleotides) under Marmota monax (woodchuck). Its description in RNAcentral is "tRNA.Pro". Lineage: Eukaryota; Metazoa; Chordata; Mammalia; Rodentia; Sciuridae. The record is from RNAcentral.